GAUGAACGCUGGCGGCAUGCUUAAUACAUGUAAGUCGAACGAGGUGCCUUUGUCUUCGGAUGAGGGUAUCCUAGUGGCGAACGGGUGAGUAACGCGUUGGUGACCUGCCCCGAAGUGUGGGAUAACAGUUCGAAAGGACUGCUAAUACCUCAUGUUGUUGCCGGGUUUAGAAGCUGGCAACCAAAGGCGUAAGCCACUUUGGGAGGGACCUGCGUCCCAUCAGCUAGUUGGUGAGGUAAUGGCCCACCAAGGCGAUGACGGGUAGGGGACCUGAGAGGGUGGCCCCCCACAAUGGUACUGAAACACGGACCAUACACCUACGGGUGGCAG
This 330-nucleotide ribosomal RNA is filed under the name uncultured Chloroflexota bacterium. Its description in RNAcentral is "bacterial SSU rRNA". It matches the Rfam family "Bacterial small subunit ribosomal RNA", at positions 28 to 351 of the family's 1533-position model. The record is from RNAcentral. Lineage: Bacteria; Bacillati; Chloroflexota.